ACAAGUGAGAAUGCCGGUAUGAGUAACGAAAAGAUCAGUGAGAAUCUGAUCCGCCGAAAGCCUAAGGGUUCCUGAGGAAGGUUCGUCCGCUCAGGGUAAGUCGGGACCUAAGGCGAGGCCGAAAGGCGUAGUCGAAGGACAACAGGUAGAAAUUCCUGUACCACCGUAAUCCGUUAUGAGCGAUGGGGUGACGCAGUAGGGUAGUGACGCGAGCUGAUGGAUGCUCGUCCAAGCAGUGAGGCUGGUGUGUAGGCAAAUCCGCACACCGUAAGGCUAGGCUGUGAUGGGGAGGGAAAAUUUACAGUACCGAAGGUCAUGAUCUCACACUGCCAAGAAAAGCCUCUAGCCAGGAGAAGGUGCCCGUACCGCAAACCGACACAGGUAGGCGAGAAGAGAAUUCUAAGGCGCGCGGAAGAACUCUCGUUAAGGAACUCGGCAAAAUGACCCCGUAACUUCGGGAGAAGGGGUGCCUCGGUAGGGUGAAUAGCCCGAGGGGGCCGCAGUGAAAAGGCCCAAGCGACUGUUUAGCAAAAACACAGGUCUGUGCGAAGCCGCAAGGCGAAGUAUACGGGCUGACGCCUGCCCGGUGCUGGAAGGUUAAGGGGAGCGGUUAGGGGGAAACCCCGAAGCUGUGAACCGAAGCCCCAGUAAACGGCGGCCGUAACUAUAACGGUCCUAAGGUAGCGAAAUUCCUUGUCAGGUAAAUUCUGACCCGCACGAAUGGCGUAACGACUUGGGCGCUGUCUCAACGAGAGAUCCGGUGAAAUUUUAAUACCUGUGAAGAUGCAGGUUACCCGCGACAAGACGGAAAGACCCCAUGGAGCUUUACUGCAGCUUGAUAUUGGACUUUGAUACGAUUUGUACAGGAUAGGUGGGAGCCUAGGAAGCCGGAGCGCCAGCUUCGGUGGAGGCGCCGUUGGGAUACCACCCUGAUCGUAUCGGAGUUCUAACCUGGUACCGUGAACCGGUACGGGGACAGUGUCAGGUGGGCAGUUUGACUGGGGCGGUCGCCUCCUAAAGAGUAACGGAGGCGCCCCAAGGUUCCCUCAGAAUGGUUGGAAAUCAUUCGAAGAGUGCAAAGGCAAAAGGGAGCUUGACUGCGAGACUGACAAGUCGAGCAGGGACGAAAGUCGGGCUUAGUGAUCCGGUGGUACCGCAUGGAAGGGCCAUCGCUCAACGGAUAAAAGCUACCCUGGGGAUAACAGGCUUAUCUCCCCCAAGAGUCCACAUCGACGGGGAGGUUUGGCACCUCGAUGUCGGCUCAUCGCAUCCUGGGGCUGAAGUAGGUCCCAAGGGUUGGGCUGUUCGCCCAUUAAAGCGGUACGCGAGCUGGGUUCAGAACGUCGUGAGACAGUUCGGUCCCUAUCUGUCGUGGGCGUAGGAAAUUUGAGAGGAGCUGUCCUUAGUACGAGAGGACCGGGAUGGACGCACCGCUGGUGCACCAGUUGUUCCGCCAGGAGCACAGCUGGGUAGCUAAGUGCGGACGGGAUAAGCGCUGAAAGCAUCUAAGCGUGAAGCCCCCCUCAAGAUGAGAUUUCCCAGUAUGUAAGACCCCUUGAAGACGACAAGGUUGAUAGGCCUGAGGUGGAAGUGCAGCAAUGCAUGGAGCUGACAGGUACUAAUCGGUCGAGGGCUUAUCCAA
RNAcentral lists this ribosomal RNA (1642 nucleotides) under Paenibacillus barengoltzii G22. Its description in RNAcentral is "bacterial LSU rRNA". It matches the Rfam family "Bacterial large subunit ribosomal RNA", at positions 1284 to 2925 of the family's 2925-position model. Lineage: Bacteria; Bacillati; Bacillota; Bacilli; Caryophanales; Paenibacillaceae. The record is from RNAcentral.